Calypte anna (Anna's hummingbird) is the source of this 133-nucleotide long non-coding RNA. RefSeq lists it as uncharacterized. The transcript is spliced from 3 exons. NCBI's taxonomy places the organism in Eukaryota, Metazoa, Chordata, Aves, Apodiformes, Trochilidae. The record is from RefSeq and is a predicted model, not a curated record.
GCCCCCUCGCCUUAGGGAGGGCUACAAGAACAUCUCUGAGUCAAUAGCAGUGUGUAUAUUCCCAAAAUACAGACAUAUUCUGCAAGUCGUGUGUGAAGUCCAAGAAUUGCUUAAGAGAAUUGAUUGCUUCCAA